This 871-nucleotide ribosomal RNA is filed under the name Enterococcus faecium. Its description in RNAcentral is "bacterial SSU rRNA". It matches the Rfam family "Bacterial small subunit ribosomal RNA", at positions 106 to 965 of the family's 1533-position model. The record is from RNAcentral. Lineage: Bacteria; Bacillati; Bacillota; Bacilli; Lactobacillales; Enterococcaceae.
GUGAGUAACACGUGGGUAACCUGCCCAUCAGAAGGGGAUAACACUUGGAAACAGGUGCUAAUACCGUAUAACAAUCAAAACCGCAUGGUUUUGAUUUGAAAGGCGCUUUCGGGUGUCGCUGAUGGAUGGACCCGCGGUGCAUUAGCUAGUUGGUGAGGUAACGGCUCACCAAGGCCACGAUGCAUAGCCGACCUGAGAGGGUGAUCGGCCACAUUGGGACUGAGACACGGCCCAAACUCCUACGGGAGGCAGCAGUAGGGAAUCUUCGGCAAUGGACGAAAGUCUGACCGAGCAACGCCGCGUGAGUGAAGAAGGUUUUCGGAUCGUAAAACUCUGUUGUUAGAGAAGAACAAGGAUGAGAGUAACUGUUCAUCCCUUGACGGUAUCUAACCAGAAAGCCACGGCUAACUACGUGCCAGCAGCCGCGGUAAUACGUAGGUGGCAAGCGUUGUCCGGAUUUAUUGGGCGUAAAGCGAGCGCAGGCGGUUUCUUAAGUCUGAUGUGAAAGCCCCCGGCUCAACCGGGGAGGGUCAUUGGAAACUGGGAGACUUGAGUGCAGAAGAGGAGAGUGGAAUUCCAUGUGUAGCGGUGAAAUGCGUAGAUAUAUGGAGGAACACCAGUGGCGAAGGCGGCUCUCUGGUCUGUAACUGACGCUGAGGCUCGAAAGCGUGGGGAGCAAACAGGAUUAGAUACCCUGGUAGUCCACGCCGUAAACGAUGAGUGCUAAGUGUUGGAGGGUUUCCGCCCUUCAGUGCUGCAGCUAACGCAUUAAGCACUCCGCCUGGGGAGUACGACCGCANGGUUGANCUCAAAGGAAUUGANNGGGCCCGCACAAGCGGUGGANCAUGUGGUUUAAUUCGAAGCACGCGAA